GGGACUUGCAAGCGUUUUCAGCUGAAGAAAUGUGGAAGUGAAUUGUUUGGCAUAUUUAGUAAAUGUUCUAUAGGCAACGCAACCACUAUUGUUCUUCGUGGAGAUGACCAGUUUAUUGAAGAAGCAGAUUUAUAUAUACAAGAUCUGAUCCCGUAUAUAAGGUUGCACCUGAAAAUUCACACAUUGGUUGCUGGUGGUCAUGCAUUAUAUGAGCGUAUAAUCCAGCAUGUAGGGGAAGAGGCAAACCACCAUGGAGUCGGAGACUCGAAACGGAUUGUAGAAGUAUUCACUAAAGCAAUUCAGGUGAGCGUGCCAUUGUGUGGGAGCCACCAUCCUUCAAGAUUGCUGCCAUUCGUCUUGCUACUGGUGAAGUUUGCGUUCAUUUAAAAUCCCCAGAAUAGAUGAUGGAGCGACAAGUUGACAAGUUCGAAACGGAAGACAAAACAAGAAAGAGGAAAAGAUGUUAAGCUAUUUUGGAGAUAGUAUAUUGUGAAAACGUUUAUGUGCUUAUAACUAGUAUUUAUCAUGUUGACUUUGACAUAAUACCUACUUAAUAACUUUCUUGUGGUCUUCUAAGCACAAUUUGGUUUUAUGCUUAUUAUGUAUUAUUUGCCUUAUGAAACAUUGUCUUGGGAAUUAUGCGAAAUGGAA
Molecule: long non-coding RNA, 651 nt
Organism: Erigeron canadensis
Lineage: Eukaryota; Viridiplantae; Streptophyta; Magnoliopsida; Asterales; Asteraceae
Exons: 6
Source: RefSeq, a predicted model, not a curated record